GCAAGUCGAACGGGGUCAUCAGAGGAAGUUUUCGGAUGGAAUCGGAUGACUUAGUGGCGGACGGGUGAGUAACGCGUGGGAAACCUGCCCUGUACCGGGGGAUAACACUUAGAAAUAGGUGCUAAUACCGCAUAAGCGCACAGCUCCGCAUGGAGCGGUGUGAAAAACUCCGGUGGUACAGGAUGGUCCCGCGUCUGAUUAGCCAGUUGGCGGGGUAACGGCACACCAAAGCGACGAUCAGUAGCCGGCCUGAGAGGGUGAAC
Molecule: ribosomal RNA, 263 nt
Filed under: uncultured bacterium
Lineage: Bacteria
Description: partial 16S ribosomal RNA
Rfam family: Bacterial small subunit ribosomal RNA
Source: RNAcentral